UACGUAGGUGGCAAGCGUUGUCCGGAAUUACUGGGUGUAAAGGGCGUGUAGGCGGGAAGGCAAGUCAGAUGUGAAAGCCCAUGGCUUAACUGUGGAACUGCAUCUGAAACUGUUUUUCUUGAGUACUGGAGAGGAAAGUGGAAUUCCUAGUGUAGCGGUGAAAUGCGUAGAGAUUAGGAAGAACACCAGUGGCGAAGGCGAUUCUCUGGACAGAUACUGACGCUGAGGCUCUAAAGUUAGGGGAGCAAACAGGAUUAGAUACCCCU
Molecule: ribosomal RNA, 266 nt
Filed under: uncultured prokaryote
Description: partial 16S ribosomal RNA
Rfam family: Bacterial small subunit ribosomal RNA
Source: RNAcentral